UACGGAGGGUGCAAGCGUUAUCCGGAUUCACUGGGUUUAAAGGUGCGUAGGUGGGUUGGUAAGUCAGUGGUGAAAUCCCCGAGCUUAACUUGGGAACUGCCAUUGAUACUAUUAAUCUUGAAUACCGUGGAGGUCGGCGGAAUAUGUCAUGUAGCGGUGAAAUGCUUAGAUAUGACAUAGAACACCAAUUGCGAAGGCAGCUGGCUACACGAGUAUUGACACUGAGGCACGAAAGCGUGGGGAUCAAACAGG
This 252-nucleotide ribosomal RNA is filed under the name uncultured bacterium. Its description in RNAcentral is "partial 16S ribosomal RNA". It matches the Rfam family "Bacterial small subunit ribosomal RNA", at positions 524 to 776 of the family's 1533-position model. The record is from RNAcentral.